CGCGGGCUUCGGCCUGGCGACGAGUGGCGGACGGGUGAGUAAUGCGUAGGAAUCUGCCUAGUAGCGGGGGACAACUUAGGGAAACUUAAGCUAAUACCGCAUACGCCCUACGGGGGAAAGCAGGGGAUCUUCGGACCUUGCACUAUUGGAUGAGCCUACGUCGGAUUAGCUAGUUGGUGGGGUAAAGGCCUACCAAGGCGACGAUCCGUAGCUGGUCUGAGAGGACGAUCAGCCACACUGGGACUGAGACACGGCCCAGACUCCUACGGGAGGCAGCAGUGGGGAAUAUUGGACAAUGGGGGCAACCCUGAUCCAGCAAUGCCGCGUGUGUGAAGAAGGCCUGCGGGUUGUAAAGCACUUUCGAUGGGAAAGAAAAGCUCAGGGCUAAUAUCCCUGAGUCUUGACGUUACCCAGAGAAGAAGCACCGGCUAACUCUGUGCCAGCAGCCGCGGUAAUACAGAGGGUGCAAGCGUUAAUCGGAAUUACUGGGCGUAAAGCGCGCGUAGGCGGUUUGAUUAGUCGGAUGUGAGAUCCCCGGGCUUAACCUGGGAACUGCAUUCGAUACUGUCUGACUAGAGUUUGGUAGAGGGAAGUGGAAUUCCAGGUGUAGCGGUGAAAUGCGUAGAUAUCUGGAGGAACAUCAGUGGCGAAGGCGACUUCCUGGACCAAAACUGACGCUGAGGUGCGAAAGCGU
RNAcentral lists this ribosomal RNA (694 nucleotides) under uncultured Gammaproteobacteria bacterium. RNAcentral describes it as "bacterial SSU rRNA". It matches the Rfam family "Bacterial small subunit ribosomal RNA", at positions 72 to 762 of the family's 1533-position model. Lineage: Bacteria; Pseudomonadati; Pseudomonadota; Gammaproteobacteria. The record is from RNAcentral.